This 336-nucleotide long non-coding RNA is filed under the name Triticum aestivum (bread wheat). RNAcentral's name for it is "long non-coding RNA (TAES_LNC004870)". Lineage: Eukaryota; Viridiplantae; Streptophyta; Magnoliopsida; Poales; Poaceae. The record is from RNAcentral.
AAAUUCUAAAAAAAACAGUAACACAGCUGAAGAUAUAUUGCAGGCAGUGAAUUUAUUACUACACAAACGGGGCAAACAUCACCUAGGAAAUAUACACGAACGGGGCAACCAUGCACAGCAGGGCCACCCUCCAUUAUUAACCACAAAGUACCGUACGUAGAAACAAGCAAACAUACUACGUAUAUAUGUGAUAAAGGAUAGCUGCAGGUGUUGGAUUUUAAGGAUUUGAAGCAGCAGCUUUGGCGGUGGCGGCUAGUAGUCCUCCGGCGCGAGUGGCUGGUGGGCGUGGGCGGCGGUAUCGGUAGACGGCAUGACGACGUACUCGUAGAGGAGCCC